CGAUUAGAUUUCAGUUCGCUCUUCCGCCGCCUGCUUCGUUUUUAUCUCUUUUUAUUUUCCGAUCUGAUUUCUGAUAUCAAUGGCUCUGAGUUUGAGUAUUAGAGGUUGAAAAAGCAGGGAUUGUGUGUAUCGGCGUAGUGCUAAUUUCAGUGCACUCUGUUCCGAAAGAGUUCCCUGCAACAUCCAAUCUUCAAGGGAAGAGAAGGAGCUUUUGAAAGCCUCAAAGCCUAUAGAUUCUCAACCAGAAAGGGGCAAAGCUAUGAUGAAUAAGGAAUAAGGGAGAGAGGUUCUAUGAUGUGCACAAGGAAUAAGGGAGAAAGGUUCAGGAGAGCAGAAUGCCACUCGGCGAUCAUCCUCUACGCUCUGCAUUGAUUGCACUGAUAAGCCAUUGCACUCUCGUCUUGAGACCUUUUGAAGCCUCCUCGUACGCCUGCAGCUGUCGUGGGUGCUGUUUUUUUAAAUUAUUAUUAUUAUUUAACCGAGUCGCAUCACAUAAUGUAUUAUAUAUAAUAUAAAGUAACACAUAUUAUUUAUAUUUGUUAUUGAAAAUAUAGCAUAGUCAAUUAUUCAGAAAUCAGCAAUCUCCAGAUAAGAUUCAGAAGAGGCACAGAAAAGGAAGACAUCGACCCUUGUUCUUAGUUGGAUGGAU
Molecule: long non-coding RNA, 649 nt
Organism: Cucurbita moschata (crookneck pumpkin)
Lineage: Eukaryota; Viridiplantae; Streptophyta; Magnoliopsida; Cucurbitales; Cucurbitaceae
Exons: 2
Source: RefSeq, a predicted model, not a curated record